RNAcentral lists this ribosomal RNA (553 nucleotides) under Fusarium subglutinans. RNAcentral's name for it is "eukaryotic LSU rRNA". It matches the Rfam family "Eukaryotic large subunit ribosomal RNA", at positions 1 to 564 of the family's 3401-position model. RNAcentral also lists the same sequence under 1 other name. The record is from RNAcentral. Lineage: Eukaryota; Fungi; Ascomycota; Sordariomycetes; Hypocreales; Nectriaceae.
UUGACCUCGGAUCAGGUAGGAAUACCCGCUGAACUUAAGCAUAUCAAUAAGCGGAGGAAAAGAAACCAACAGGGAUUGCCCUAGUAACGGCGAGUGAAGCGGCAACAGCUCAAAUUUGAAAUCUGGCUCUCGGGCCCGAGUUGUAAUUUGUAGAGGAUACUUUUGAUGCGGUGCCUUCCGAGUUCCCUGGAACGGGACGCCAUAGAGGGUGAGAGCCCCGUCUGGUUGGAUGCCAAAUCUCUGUAAAGUUCCUUCGACGAGUCGAGUAGUUUGGGAAUGCUGCUCUAAAUGGGAGGUAUAUGUCUUCUAAAGCUAAAUACCGGCCAGAGACCGAUAGCGCACAAGUAGAGUGAUCGAAAGAUGAAAAGCACUUUGAAAAGAGAGUUAAAAAGUACGUGAAAUUGUUGAAAGGGAAGCGUUUAUGACCAGACUUGGGCUUGGUUAAUCAUCUGGGGUUCUCCCCAGUGCACUUUUCCAGUCCAGGCCAGCAUCAGUUUUCCCCGGGGGAUAAAGACUUCGGGAAUGUGGCUCUCUUCGGGGAGUGUUAUAGCCC